UGCAAGUCGAGCGGUAGAGAGAAGCUUGCUUCUCUUGAGAGCGGCGGACGGGUGAGUAAUGCCUAGGAAUCUGCCUGGUAGUGGGGGAUAACGUUCGGAAACGGACGCUAAUACCGCAUACGUCCUACGGGAGAAAGCAGGGGACCUUCGGGCCUUGCGCUAUCAGAUGAGCCUAGGUCGGAUUAGCUAGUUGGUGAGGUAAUGGCUCACCAAGGCGACGAUCCGUAACUGGUCUGAGAGGAUGAUCAGUCACACUGGAACUGAGACACGGUCCAGACUCCUACGGGAGGCAGCAGUGGGGAAUAUUGGACAAUGGGCGAAAGCCUGAUCCAGCCAUGCCGCGUGUGUGAAGAAGGUCUUCGGAUUGUAAAGCACUUUAAGUUGGGAGGAAGGGCAGUUGCCUAAUACGUAACUGUUUUGACGUUACCGACAGAAUAAGCACCGGCUAACUCUGUGCCAGCAGCCGCGGUAAUACAGAGGGUGCAAGCGUUAAUCGGAAUUACUGGGCGUAAAGCGCGCGUAGGUGGUUUGUUAAGUUGGAUGUGAAAUCCCCGGGCUCAACCUGGGAACUGCAUUCAAAACUGACUGACUAGAGUAUGGUAGAGGGUGGUGGAAUUUCCUGUGUAGCGGUGAAAUGCGUAGAUAUAGGAAGGAACACCAGUGGCGAAGGCGACCACCUGGACUGAUACUGACACUGAGGUGC
RNAcentral lists this ribosomal RNA (703 nucleotides) under uncultured bacterium. RNAcentral describes it as "bacterial SSU rRNA". It matches the Rfam family "Bacterial small subunit ribosomal RNA", at positions 56 to 754 of the family's 1533-position model. The record is from RNAcentral.